AGAUAAGGGGUAUUACUAUAGAUGAUACAGAAUUUGUACUUUCUCAAUAUGCAGAUGAUACAUCAUUGAUAUUAGAUGGCUCGCCAGAAUCGCUCGAUGCAUCUUUUCGUUUUCUCCAAUAGUAUGCUGAAAUCUUGGGACUUUAGAUUAAUAUAGAAAAAGCAAGUGUUAUUUGGAUAGGUAGCAAAAACAUAGCCAGGAUCGAAUUUGUGUAAAGUGGGGAUUGAAAUGGGGC
This 235-nucleotide long non-coding RNA is filed under the name Mytilus galloprovincialis (Mediterranean mussel). Lineage: Eukaryota; Metazoa; Mollusca; Bivalvia; Mytilida; Mytilidae. The record is from RNAcentral.